UGGGCGUGUCAUGUUUGCUUUGCCGCCCUGCCACCGAUGACUAACUUUUUGCGGUUUGGAAAAUUAUUUUGCUGUCCUAGCCAUUACCACCUUUUCAGCGAACCUGAAAGAGUUCUUCAUCAAUAUAAAUUGCAGAUAUUCAAAAUGCAAAUGAAAUUCGCGGAAUUAAGGCAAGAAAACUUGUUCCUCAGACCUGUGGCGUCUGGAACGUGCCCGCAAUUGAGAGAUCCUGAAUUUGAAUUUCAAUUAUAUUCGGUUCGUCAAUCGCCAUUUGAAUGCGAUGCGAAUGUCUGGCCCACGCGGCGAGUCGAUGCCAUGGCAAUUAAGGAGCAUAAUUAAGUGUAUGCCAACCAACAGCAUGGAGUUUCAUCACGGACGUAUCGUUCCUUUGUUGUUGUUGUGGCCGAGUUGAUGUCAAUUUAAAUGCAAAAGGCCUUUUGAGCCACUGCGAAGGAUGGCAGUCGAAAUGUGCCAAACUGGCAGUUUCACUAAUUGCGAGGUGAGGCAAUGCGAGCUGAAUAGGACAUGGUCACGACUUCUGGACGAGUCAGCAUGACAAUCGCAGCUAAGCCACUGACUGCAUGCAAAAAAAAAAAAUACAUGUAAUCAAAUCAAUAUCUCUUCAUUUUAUAUGCCUGCUAAAAACAGUCUUAAAAACAUAAGAAAAUAGCUCAAAUAUAAGAAAGCUAAUAAAUAUAUUUUAAAUAAAUAGAAUAUAGAAU
Molecule: non-coding RNA, 722 nt
Organism: Drosophila melanogaster (fruit fly)
Lineage: Eukaryota; Metazoa; Arthropoda; Insecta; Diptera; Drosophilidae
Source: Ensembl